AGAUGGCGCCGGCGCACGGGUGAGUAACACGUAUCCAACCUGCCGAUAACUCGGGGAUAGCCUUUCGAAAGAAAGAUUAAUACCCGAUGGUAUAAUCAGACCGCAUGGUUUGAUUAUUAAAGAAUUUCGGUUAUCGAUGGGGAUGCGUUCCAUUAGGCAGUUGGUGAGGUAACGGCUCACCAAACCUUCGAUGGAUAGGGGUUCUGAGAGGAAGGUCCCCCACAUUGGAACUGAGACACGGUCCAA
Molecule: ribosomal RNA, 246 nt
Filed under: uncultured bacterium
Lineage: Bacteria
Description: partial 16S ribosomal RNA
Rfam family: Bacterial small subunit ribosomal RNA
Source: RNAcentral